This 254-nucleotide ribosomal RNA is filed under the name Agaricales sp. RNAcentral's name for it is "partial large subunit ribosomal RNA". Lineage: Eukaryota; Fungi; Basidiomycota; Agaricomycetes; Agaricales. The record is from RNAcentral.
AAACACUUGAAGUCAGUCAUGCUCAUUAGAAAUCAGCGGGACCACAACGCGUCUGUGCACUUUCUGUUGGGCAGGUCAGCAUCAAUUUUGACUGCUGCAAAAAGGCUUAGGAAAUGUGAUGCCCUUCUGGGUGUGUUAUAGUCCUGAGUUGUAUACAGUGGUUGGGAUUGAGGAACUCAGUGUGACCUUUGUGUUUGGAGGAAGACCAUCCUCACAACACACACUUAGGAUGCUGGCAUAAUGGCUUUAAUUGA